CCUGUUUGGGUCCUUUAGUCUUCCGCUCCCACACAUCUUUAUCCAUGCCCACUUUACUGAGACUUACAUAUCUGCUUGACCUUCAUAAAUCUGCCCACACCACUUAUUUCCAUGACUUAAUUAAAACAAACAAAAACACUAAUAUUAAUAACAAUUUAACUAAAGUUAAACAUUUAUAAUUGUUGUUUGUCACUUCUUUUAAUAAUAAGAGCACACUGAGCACAUACAUAACUUACGCUUGGUUUAUAAUCAGAAGGUUUUUCUUUUUUUUUUUUCUUGUCCUUUGCAGUUUAAAUGUGUUUUAGAUCUGAGGACUUGACGCUCAAUAGCAGCGUAGAACUUGAUGUAAGGUGGCAGAUUAUGGAGCCAAUUGAGAUAAGUUGCAGUGAUAAAUUUCAGGUGACAGGCUAGAUAGGCUCAUUGUGUUCCUUUUCCUUUUUUUUUUCCUUCCCCCUUUUAUCUGCGAACUCUUGGUCGAGUGCCAAGUGGAAUCAAAGCAUCGAGCAGCCGAGGAAGCGGAGGAGAGAGUCAGUUUGUGAACAGUCUGAAUUUGAGCUCCUCCAAAGUUGAGAUUUAGUUUUAGAGUUGGGGUUCAAUUUUUUUUUUUAAUUUAGGCUUCGUGCAUUUUCUACUUUUUCACAACCUCCGCCUUUAUCCCCCUCUCCCUCCCUCAAUUCCUGUCUUUCUGUCAUUCUCAUGCACCACAUGGCCUCCUGCAUGCCAUUUGUGUUACUUUCUUGAGUUAUUGCGAGAAGUGCGAGUGUCGAGGCGAACAGAAGGGAACAAAGACAGUGAGAUGAACCCCUCAUCGAUCUUCGUAUUGAGAACAUCUGCCCCAAACCUGAGGGGGGUUAGCAGACUAAGUGGAAGUGGUGCGAAGCUGCAAGCAAACCAAGCAAACCGGAGUUCAGGUACAAGCUGAUGUCUUGCAUACAACUAAUAAUGCAACGGUUAGUAGUUUAUGAAGUACACCCGUUCAACUUGUCAUUAACACAAAUAUCUAAGCCAAUCACACGGCAGGAACUCAGUGCAUUUAGGCAGGUAGACACAGACAACAUGACCUGCUGAAUUCCAAACUGAGCAUAAAGAUAAGGAAGGAAGGUGAUUUAAGUCGUGUGGCAUUGUUUUUUAGUAUUUUUAGAAACU
Long non-coding RNA from Astatotilapia calliptera (eastern happy), 1146 nucleotides. Lineage: Eukaryota; Metazoa; Chordata; Actinopteri; Cichliformes; Cichlidae. The record is from Ensembl.